Molecule: ribosomal RNA, 253 nt
Filed under: uncultured bacterium
Lineage: Bacteria
Description: partial 16S ribosomal RNA
Rfam family: Bacterial small subunit ribosomal RNA
Source: RNAcentral
UACGUAUGGAGCAAGCGUUAUCCGGAUUUACUGGGUGUAAAGGGUGCGUAGGCGGCAAGGCAAGUCAGAUGUGAAAGACCGGGGCUCAACUCCGGGGCUGCAUUUGAAACUGUUUUGCUGGAGUCCAGGAGAGGCAGGCGGAAUUCCUAGUGUAGCGGUGAAAUGCGUAGAUAUUAGGAGGAACACCAGUGGCGAAGGCGGCCUGCUGGACUGGUACUGACGCUGAGGCACGAAAGCGUGGGGAGCAAACAGG